RNAcentral lists this long non-coding RNA (397 nucleotides) under Mytilus galloprovincialis (Mediterranean mussel). Lineage: Eukaryota; Metazoa; Mollusca; Bivalvia; Mytilida; Mytilidae. The record is from RNAcentral.
GUAUACCGUAUAUUUGUGGCAUAUCAUCGUGGCCACAAGUUAAAUUUUUUUUCUGUUUAGGAUUAAAUUUUUAUUAAGAUCCAUUUUGUUACAUCUUGUGAUCAAUUUUUUUGGCAAUCGCCAAUGGCAGUCAGCAGGGUUAAAGAACAUCAGUUGUGCGACCUGUUAGUCAAAUGCAUUUUGUUUAAAUAUACUUUUUCACUUUUUUGGUCUUUUGGAAAAUGUUGUAUGUGCUGUAUUUAGACUCUUCUACAACGAAAUUUGUUUUACAUGCACACGUAUAAAAAUUGCGGUUUUUUAUCCAACGCAAUCAUAGGUUUGAACGUAAUUUUCAAUUUAGACUCGUUUAUAUAAUUAUGAUAUAUAUAUAUAUAUAUACAUAUAUAUUUAAAUUAGC